UGAUCAGCAAUACCGCGUGAGUGAGAGGCCUUAGGGUUGUAAAGCUCUUUCAGCAGGGAAAAUAAUGAUGGUACCUGCAAAAGAAGUCCCGGCUAACUCCGUGCCAGCAGCCGCGGUAAUACGGAGGGGACUAGCGUUGUUCGGAUUUACUGGGCGUAAAGGGUGCGUAGGCGGCCUGAUAAGUUAGAAGUGAAAGCCUGGGGCUCAACCCCAGAACUGCUUCUAAAACUGUUAGGCUAGAGUAUGGGAGAGGAUAGUGGAAUUCCUAGUGUAGAGGUGAAAUUCUUAGAUAUUAGGAGGAACACCGGUGGCGAAAGCGACUAUCUGGAACAUUACUGACGCUGAGGCACGAAAGCGUGGGGAGCAAACAGGAUUAGAUACCCUGGUAGUCCACGCUGUAAACGAUGAAUGCUAGAUAUCGGAUUUAUUCGGUGUCGUAGAUAACUUGAUAAGCAUUCCGCCUGGGGAGUACGGUCGCAAGAUUAAAACU
This 490-nucleotide ribosomal RNA is filed under the name uncultured bacterium. Its description in RNAcentral is "bacterial SSU rRNA". It matches the Rfam family "Bacterial small subunit ribosomal RNA", at positions 384 to 901 of the family's 1533-position model. The record is from RNAcentral.